Molecule: ribosomal RNA, 253 nt
Filed under: uncultured bacterium
Lineage: Bacteria
Description: partial 16S ribosomal RNA
Rfam family: Bacterial small subunit ribosomal RNA
Source: RNAcentral
GACAGAGGGUGCAAACGUUGUUCGGAAUUACUGGGCGUAAAGCGAGUGUAGGCGGUCUCAUAAGUCGGGUGUGAAAGCCCCGGGCUCAACCCGGGAAGUGCACUCGAAACUGCGAGGCUAGAGUAUCGGAGAGGUUGGUGGAAUUCUCGGUGUAGAGGUGAAAUUCGUAGAUAUCGAGAGGAACACCGGCGGCGAAGGCGGCCAACUGGACGAAUACUGACGCUGAGACUCGAAAGCGUGGGGAGCAAACAGG